GACGAACGCUGGCGGCGUGCUUAACACAUGCAAGUCGAACGGAAAGGCCCUGCUUUUGUGGGGUGCUCGAGUGGCGAACGGGUGAGUAACACGUGAGUAACCUGCCCUUGACUUUGGGAUAACUUCAGGAAACUGGGGCUAAUACCGGAUAGGAGCUCCUGCUGCAUGGUGGGGUUUGGAAAGUUUCGGCGGUUGGGGAUGGACUCGCGGCUUAUCAGCUUGUUGGUGGGGUAGUGGCUUACCAAGGCUUUGACGGGUAGCCGGCCUGAGAGGGUGACCGGCCACAUUGGGACUGAGAUACGGCCCAGACUCCUACGGGAGGAAGCAGUGGGGAAUAUUGCACAAUGGGCGGAAGCCUGAUGCAGCAACGCCGCGUGCGGGAUGACGGCCUUCGGGUUGUAAACCGCUUUCGCCUGUGACGAAGCGUGAGCGACGGUAAUGGGUAAAGAAGCACCGGCUAACUACGUG
Molecule: ribosomal RNA, 468 nt
Filed under: uncultured bacterium
Lineage: Bacteria
Description: partial 16S ribosomal RNA
Rfam family: Bacterial small subunit ribosomal RNA
Source: RNAcentral